CCUACGGGAUGCAGCAGCGGGGAAUAUUGCACAAUGGGCGCAAGCCUGAUGCAGCCAUGCCGCGUGUAUGAAGAAGGCCUCCGGGUUGUAAAGUACUUUCAGCGGGGAGGAAGGCGAUAAGGUUAAUAACCUUGUCGAUUGACGUUACCCGCAGAAGAAGCACCGGCUAACUCCGUGCCAGCAGCCGCGGUAAUACGGAGGGUGCAAGCGUUAAUCGGAAUUACUGGGCGUAAAGCGCACGCAGGCGGUCUGUCAAGUCGGAUGUGAAAUCCCCGGGCUCAACCUGGGAACUGCAUUCGAAACCGGCAGGCUGGAGUCUUGUAGAGGGGGGUAGAAUUCCAGGUGUAGCGGUGAAAUGCGUAGAGAUCUGGAGGAAUACCGGUGGCGAAGGCGGCCCCCUGGACAAAGACUGACGUUCAGGUGCGAAAGCGUGGGGAGCAGACAGGAUUAGAUACCCCUGUAGUC
RNAcentral lists this ribosomal RNA (465 nucleotides) under uncultured bacterium. Its description in RNAcentral is "bacterial SSU rRNA". It matches the Rfam family "Bacterial small subunit ribosomal RNA", at positions 338 to 795 of the family's 1533-position model. The record is from RNAcentral.